UACGAAGGGGGCUAGCGUUGCUCGGAAUCACUGGGCGUAAAGCGCACGUAGGCGGCUUUCUAAGUCAGGGUGAAAUCCUGGAGCUCAACUCCAGAACUGCCUUUGAUACUGGGAAUCUCGAGUCCGGAAGAGGUGAGUGGAACUGCGAGUGUAGAGGUGAAAUUCGUAGAUAUUCGCAAGAACACCAGUGGCGAAGGCGGCUCACUGGUCCGGUACUGACGCUGAGGUGCGAAAGCGUGGGGAGCGAACGAG
RNAcentral lists this ribosomal RNA (252 nucleotides) under uncultured bacterium. Its description in RNAcentral is "partial 16S ribosomal RNA". It matches the Rfam family "Bacterial small subunit ribosomal RNA", at positions 524 to 776 of the family's 1533-position model. The record is from RNAcentral.